This is a non-coding RNA of Mycena rebaudengoi, 91 nucleotides long. NCBI's taxonomy places the organism in Eukaryota, Fungi, Basidiomycota, Agaricomycetes, Agaricales, Mycenaceae. The record is from the annotation of a GenBank genome assembly.
GACUCAGUGGUGUAAUGGAAACAUGCUAACUUGUAGUGCCGGGAGGGAAUCAGAUAAGCUGGUAAUCCCUGUUUGAUUCAGGGCUAGGUCA